AAUCGUAAUCAAAAUCAUAAAAAGCGAUGAGAUGGAAAAAGCGUUAGGGAAAAUGUUGAUGGAACCGUUUUAAUUGCUCUCCCAGUUCGCUGAGGAAACUCAAAAGAAAAAGAAAAGAACAGAGCAGAGAAUAGAAUAAAAAUAAAGAAAGAGCAGACGACAGCAAUUAUCAAUUGUGUUCCUCUCGGAUGCCAUAAAUUCUUCAAUAUAAUAAAAUGUGGGCUUUGAUAAUUCCCUUCAGUAUGAUGGCGAUGAUACGAGACCCAAAUGCAAGUGGGAGGCGGCUCAGAAGAUGUCUAAAGGAAGAGGAAACUUCUCCUGGCGAAACUCUAUAGCCGCAAUCCACGUAACACUCGUCGUAUUCCUCUGCCGCUCCGCUCGCUUACAUAAAUGAAUAACAAAUUUAAAACAAAUAUAUUUCUGUUCGAAUCUGCACGACCCAUCAUUAA
Molecule: long non-coding RNA, 449 nt
Organism: Drosophila obscura
Lineage: Eukaryota; Metazoa; Arthropoda; Insecta; Diptera; Drosophilidae
Exons: 2
Source: RefSeq, a predicted model, not a curated record